This 253-nucleotide ribosomal RNA is filed under the name uncultured bacterium. RNAcentral describes it as "partial 16S ribosomal RNA". It matches the Rfam family "Bacterial small subunit ribosomal RNA", at positions 524 to 776 of the family's 1533-position model. The record is from RNAcentral.
UACAGAGGGUGCAAGCGUUAAUCGGAAUUACUGGGCGUAAAGCGUGCGUAGUCGGUUAUCUAAGUCGGGUGUGAAAUCCCCGGGCUCAACCUGGGAAUUGCAUUCGAUACUGGAUAGCUAGAGUUCGGCAGAGGGAAGCGGAAUUUCUGGUGUAGCGGUGAAAUGCGUAGAUAUCAGAAGGAACAUCAGUGGCGAAAGCGGCUUCCUGGACCAGAACUGACGAUCAGGCACGAAAGCGUGGGGAGCAAACAGG